ACAGGGCACACAAGUUGACAAGGAGCAAGGUUGAACGGGGCAUAGGACAGCUGAAACGCAGAUGGGGAAUUCUGCAUGGAGAAGUUAGACUUGCUCCAGAAAAAACGUGCAAGGUGAUCAUUGCAUGUGCAGUUUUGCACAACAUCUGCAAGCUGCAUGGUGUGCCAGAUGUUGAUGAUCUGCCGGAAGAUCCUGUGCGCAAUGACGGGAUUCAUGUUGGUCCAGAAGAUGGACUUCGCUUCCGUGAUAUUAUAUGCGAACAGUAUUUUAGAUUGUAAAUUACGGGGGAUAUAGACAAAACAAGUCUUAAAAAUGUGUGUUCAUUUACAUCUAAUAAAGACAAAACAAGUCUUAAAAAUGUGUGUUCAUUUACAUCUGAUAAAGACAAAACAAGUCUUAAAAAUGUGUGUUCAUUUACAUCUGAUAAAGACAAAACAAGUCUUAAAAAUGUGUGUUCAUUUACAUCUGAUAAAGACAAAACAAGUCUUAAAAAUGUAUGUUCAUUUACAUCUGAUAAAGACAAAACAAGUCUUAAAAAUGUGUGUUCAUUUACAUCUGAUAAACACAAAACAAGUCUUAAAAAUGUGUGUUCAUUUACAUCUGAUAAACACAAAACAAGUCUUAAAAAUGUGUGUUCAUUUACAUCUGAUAAAGACAAAACAAGUAUAUAAAAUGUGUGCUGAAUGAGACAUAGCUGAUUAAUAUAGGAUUGGUGGCUGGGGAACAUAGCUGAUAUUAUAGGUUUCAGGGCAAGGGAACAUAGCUGAUGUUAUAGGUUUUGGAGCCAGAAAACAUAGCUGAUAAUAUCAGUUUGGGGGUCGGAGGCCAUCGCUGAUGUUAUUGGUUUGGGGGCCGGGGGACAUAGCUGAUAUGAUAUAAAAA
Long non-coding RNA from Dreissena polymorpha, 882 nucleotides. RefSeq lists it as uncharacterized. NCBI's taxonomy places the organism in Eukaryota, Metazoa, Mollusca, Bivalvia, Myida, Dreissenidae. The record is from RefSeq and is a predicted model, not a curated record. The transcript has 2 exons.